Molecule: transfer RNA, 437 nt
Filed under: Acer japonicum (downy Japanese maple)
Lineage: Eukaryota; Viridiplantae; Streptophyta; Magnoliopsida; Sapindales; Sapindaceae
Description: partial transfer RNA-Leu
Rfam family: tRNA (bases 395-437)
Source: RNAcentral
AAAAUCCGUCGACUUUAGAAAUCGUGAGGGUUCAAGUCCCUCUAUCCCCCCAAAAAGACCGAUUUGACUAUUUCUCCUACCCUCUCUUUUUUUUAGUGGUUCAAAAUUUGUUCUCUUUCUCAUUCAUUCUACCUUUUUACAAACGUAUCAGAGCAGAAUUUUUUUCUUUUAUCACAAUCACAAGUGGUGUGGUAUAUAUGAUAUACGUACAAAUGAACAUCUUUGAACAAAGAAUCCCGAUUCACAAUUCAUAUCAUUGCUCAUACUGAAACUUAUAAAUUAUUCUAUUCAAGAAAUCUAAUUCCACGCUCAAGACUUUUAAUACUUUUUUUAUCUUUUUUAAUUGACAUAGACCCCAGUCAUCUAGUAAAAUAAGGAUGAUGCGCCGGUAAUGGUCGGGAUAGCUCAGCUGGUAGAGCAGAGGACUGANAAUCCUC